GGGGGCGCGCGGAGAGCUGCCGGAGCAGAGCGGAGCGCAGGCAUCUUCCGCAAUCCAUUCAUGCACUGAAGCGCGUGCAGAGCUGCUGCUCGCUGCCAUUGUUACUCGCGGGCGGUGUGGGAGCCGAGCCUCCACUCUGGCGAGAUAAAUGGCCUCUGACAGCCCCUCCUCGCCAAGAGAGCUCCUCGGAUUUCACAGCGCAGCGGCUCUCAGCUCCUUCUGUGUGUGGCUGAUUCUUUCCAUUUCAGCUCCUCUGUCACCUUGUGAUACAGCCAGGGGACCCUCACCAGGACACCAGCACCAUGUUGUUCGGACCUUCCUACCACCAGGAUUGGGAGCCAAUAAACCUCUUUACUUUAUAAAAUACUUGACCUCAUGUAUUUUGUUACAGCAACACAAAACAGACCAAGACAGU
Long non-coding RNA from Heterocephalus glaber (naked mole-rat), 415 nucleotides. The record is from Ensembl. NCBI's taxonomy places the organism in Eukaryota, Metazoa, Chordata, Mammalia, Rodentia, Bathyergidae.